RNAcentral lists this ribosomal RNA (690 nucleotides) under Triticum aestivum (bread wheat). Its description in RNAcentral is "partial small subunit ribosomal RNA". Lineage: Eukaryota; Viridiplantae; Streptophyta; Magnoliopsida; Poales; Poaceae. The record is from RNAcentral.
GUCUCUUGGGACACGAUGAGCAUGCCAAAAUAUAUGGGAGGUUUGGGUUUCGAUUUUGAAAUAUUUAAUAUGGCUCUUUUGGGAAAGCAAGCGUGGAGGGUACUUGAAAAUCCUGGAUCUCUAAGUGCUCGAAUUCUUAAAGCAGUUUACUUCCCUGACAGCGAGUUUAUAAUGGCAGAGCUUGGUGGACACCCGUCCCAGAUUUGGAGAGGCGUGAUAGAGGGUCGUGACACUCUGAAACUUGGCUUGAUCCGACGGGUGGGUAGAGGAAACACCAUUGAUAUUUGGAAUAUGAACUGGAUUCCCCACAAAGAGAAUAUGAGACCUAUAGUGGCGAGAGUUAAUGACCCACCACAUUUGGUGGCGAAGCUAAUUGAUCGAGGAAAUGCGUGUACCGCCCCGGAUACAACUUUCCAUAUUCGUAACUCCAACUCUUGCCUUUUCCGUAGAUGCGAUAUGAUAUUUCCUUCGUGGUUGGGUUUUGUCUUUUGUUUUGCAUUUUGUUCAUGUCAUGCAUUUCAUCUCAUAGCAUCAUGCGCAUUGCAUCUGCAUGUUUUCAUAAAGCUUGCAUCCGUUCGUAGUUGCCACGUUCCCCCCUUGCCUUCGUUAUCCCUUUUGAGAGCAACCGUUCAUUUGUUGUCCGACCGUUUGAGCCUCUCUGCACACCCACCAACCACCUCCGCAACCUAG